Molecule: ribosomal RNA, 465 nt
Filed under: uncultured bacterium
Lineage: Bacteria
Description: partial 16S ribosomal RNA
Rfam family: Bacterial small subunit ribosomal RNA
Source: RNAcentral
GACGAACGCUGGCGGCGUGCUUAACACAUGCAAGUCGUACGGUAAGGCCCUUUCGGGGGUACACGAGUGGCGAACGGGUGAGUAACACGUGAGUAACCUGCCCACAACUUUGGGAUAACGCUAGGAAACUGGUGCUAAUACUGGAUAUGUGCUCCUGCUGCAUGGUGGGGGUUGGAAAGCUCCGGCGGUUGUGGAUGGACACGCGGCCUAUCAGCUUGUUGGUGGGGUAGUGGCCUACCAAGGCGGCGACGGGUAGCCGGCCUGAGAGGGUGACCGGCCACAUUGGGACUGAGAGACGGCCCAGACUCCUACGGGGGGCAGCAGUGGGGAAUAUUGCACAAUGGGCGCAAGCCUGAUGCAGCAACGCCGCGUGCGGGAUGACGGCCUUCGGGUUGUAAACCGCUUUCAGCAGGGACGAAGCUUUUUGUGACGGUACCUGCAGAAGAAGCACCGGCUAACUACGUG